Felis catus (domestic cat) is the source of this 541-nucleotide long non-coding RNA. RefSeq lists it as uncharacterized. The transcript is spliced from 3 exons. The record is from RefSeq and is a predicted model, not a curated record. Lineage: Eukaryota; Metazoa; Chordata; Mammalia; Carnivora; Felidae.
CAGCCACCUCUGGGUUCAAGCCACCAGGAAGGCUCUUGGAUAAGAAUUGACUUUCCCCCUUCCCUCUCUGCAGGAGCAUGUCCCAGAAACAAAACAGGGCUACUGUACCGAGAGCCUCAGUUUCCCAGUGGCUAUUGGCUGGAGGCUGCCCUGAGUUCCUUGCCAGCUAUCCCUGAGAGCGUACCUUGUACCAAGCCCAGCUGGGGCGAGCUUGCCGUGUGUGAGCCAAGAGAAGACAUCUCAGAACGAAACCUACCUGACCAGCACCUCGAUCCGUGACUUUUCAGUCUCCGGAAUCACGUGCGAGAAAAGCGUGUUGUUUAAGGCCCCCUGUCUGUGGUAUUUUGUUAUGGCAGCCUGAGGUGAUGAACACACCGGAUGAGGUUCAUCUAGGUGUUAGAACUCUCGAUCUGAGGCAGGAAUAGCCGUUAGAGUUCUUCGCCCUCCUAUUAGGGAAGGACUUUUCCUUGGUGGAAACAAGUGCUGUAUCUAAUUGACCACUGAUGUUUAUUUACCAAGGCUGGCAGGACGAAGGGGUGGG